UCCUACGGGAGGCAGCAGUAGGGAAUCUUCCGCAAUGGGCGAAAGCCUGACGGAGCAACGCCGCGUGAGUGAUGAAGGUCUUCGGGUCGUAAAACUCUGUUAUUAGGGAAGAACAAAUGUGUAAGUAACUAUGCACGUCUUGACGGUACCUAAUCAGAAAGCCACGGCUAACUACGUGCCAGCAGCCGCGGUAAUACGUAGGUGGCAAGCGUUAUCCGGAAUUAUUGGGCGUAAAGCGCGCGUAGGCGGUUUUUUAAGUCUGAUGUGAAAGCCCACGGCUCAACCGUGGAGGGUCAUUGGAAACUGGAAAACUUGAGUGCAGAAGAGGAAAGUGGAAUUCCAUGUGUAGCGGUGAAAUGCGCAG
Molecule: ribosomal RNA, 364 nt
Filed under: uncultured bacterium
Lineage: Bacteria
Description: bacterial SSU rRNA
Rfam family: Bacterial small subunit ribosomal RNA
Source: RNAcentral